AAUAAAGGGGUCUUACCAUGCAGUCGAGCGGAAGGCCCUUCGGGGUACUCGAGCGGCGAACGGGUGAGUAACACGUGAGCAACCUGCCCUAGGCUUUGGGAUAACCCCGGGAAACCGGGGCUAAUACCGAAUAUUACCGCUGACCGCAUGGUUGGUGGUGGAAAGUUUUUCGGCCUGGGAUGGGCUCGCGGCCUAUCAGCUUGUUGGUGGGGUGAUGGCCUACCAAGGCGACGACGGGUAGCCGGCCUGAGAGGGCGACCGGCCACACUGGGACUGAGACACGGCCCAGACUCCUACGGGAGGCAGCAGUGGGGAAUAUUGCACAAUGGGCGGAAGCCUGAUGCAGCGACGCCGCGUGAGGGAUGACGGCCUUCGGGUUGUAAACCUCUUUCAGCAGGGACGAAGCGUAAGUGACGGUACCUGCAGAAGAAGCGCCGGCCAACUACGUGCCAGCAGCCGCGGUAAGACGUAGGGCGCGAGCGUUGUCCGGAUUUAUUGGGCGUAAAGAGCUCGUAGGCGGCUUGUCGCGUCGACUGUGAAAACCCGCAGCUCAACUGCGGGCCUGCAGUCGAUACGGGCAGGCUAGAGUUCGGUAGGGGAGACUGGAAUUCCUGGUGUAGCGGUGAAAUGCGCAGAUAUCAGAGGAACACCGGUGGCGAAGGCGGGUCUCUGGGCCGAUACUGACGCUG
Molecule: ribosomal RNA, 689 nt
Filed under: Micromonospora sp. PC1022
Lineage: Bacteria; Bacillati; Actinomycetota; Actinomycetes; Micromonosporales; Micromonosporaceae
Description: bacterial SSU rRNA
Rfam family: Bacterial small subunit ribosomal RNA
Source: RNAcentral